CGCCGCCCUCAGGCCUCUCUGUGGUUGGGCUUCUCUCCUCGGGGCUGUGGAGGCUGCUGAUGAGUGAGGCAAAAACCACCUGGACAACAAAAUUAUGCCUGAGAAAGAUGACCUCUGCAGUGUGAGGAAUGACUCAACACAGAAAACCAGGCUGUCUGCCUUCUGAGCUCUAACCCUAGAGCCCCCAACCCUGGCUUCUGCUCACACAGCUCCAGUCCACUCUGCCCUCCCUCUGCUGGAGCCCAAGAGCCACUCUUCAGCUGCAGUGACAAUGACCAACCCACCUGCCAACAGAGUCCCUGUCCUCCCUCGGCAGCCCGGCUCAGGAAUCCCAACAGAAGACGUGAAGAGAGAACAUUGAGGACCCCACACCCUCAUUCAGCCAUCUCAGCUCCUUGGCCGUCUGCCGUGUUGAGCGAGUGCGGGCUGCUGGCCCGAGCUGCACAAUGUUGCACCCAGGACUACGCCGGGCCUGGAGCCCACAGCUGGGGCUCAUGCCUUCUCCUCGAUGAAGGCAGACGAGUUACAGUGAAAACUGGCUUUUUGUACUUUGACACCAGGGGUUUGGCAUCUGGCAAAAACAGUCCCGGAUCUAAAAGAAGCCUGGCCGAGCUGGGAAGGCUAGUGGGGUGUGUGUGGGGACAGGCCUGUGACGGUAGCUCGAGGUGUCAACUUGGCCUGUCUGGUCCAACUUUGGGUGUUGCUUCUUAAAAGACAUCUCAUUAGCGUGGUAGUUGGUACCAGUGAGGUCCUGCAGGCCAGCCUGCGACAUCACCCAAGCUCGAUUUCCCGCCUGCUGACCCGUCUCAGGCCCGCUAGCGUUCAUGUGCAUACCCACCCGCACCCUCCUGGUUUCCUCGGGGACCCUGACCGAUGCAGGGCUCCUAGAAGCUGCAGGUGGAAUGUCCUGUGCAGGAGGCGCUGGGUGGCUCACUGCACCCCACUUCCAGGGACAUCUGCAUCUGCUCAUUCCGACCAGGCUCUUGUGCAGGGACAGGCCCCUUUGGCCUCAGUGGAAUGGAGGGGCACAGGCCAUCGGCUACAGCACGUGAUGGUGUGUGAUUUUGUAAAUUCCCUGAAAAUCCAGCAGUUACACUGCAGGUACGUUUGGGAAGGCUUUUCAGGGCAGCAGAGACUGGCAACUGAAGGGAUGUGACCAGCGGGACUGCAGAGCCCCCUAACCCAGCAGCUCAGGGCUCGCACCUGUGCCCAC
Long non-coding RNA from Eptesicus fuscus (big brown bat), 1213 nucleotides. RefSeq lists it as uncharacterized. NCBI's taxonomy places the organism in Eukaryota, Metazoa, Chordata, Mammalia, Chiroptera, Vespertilionidae. The record is from RefSeq and is a predicted model, not a curated record. The transcript has 3 exons.